UACGUAGGGGGCAAGCGUUGUCCGGAAUCAUUGGGCGUAAAGAGCGUGUAGGCGGCCAGAUAAGUCCGCUGUGAAAACUCGAGGCUCAACUUCGAGCUGUCGGUGGAAACUAUUUGGCUAGAGUCCGGAAGAGGAGAGUGGAAUUCCUGGUGUAGCGGUGAAAUGCGCAGAUAUCAGGAAGAACACCCGUGGCGAAGGCGGCUCUCUGGUACGGAACUGACGCUGAGACACGAAAGCGUGGGGAGCGAACAGG
RNAcentral lists this ribosomal RNA (253 nucleotides) under uncultured bacterium. RNAcentral describes it as "partial 16S ribosomal RNA". It matches the Rfam family "Bacterial small subunit ribosomal RNA", at positions 524 to 776 of the family's 1533-position model. The record is from RNAcentral.